CGGUUCCGCCCGGCUCUCCUGUGAAUUUUGGUUCCCUGGUGACCGGUUGGGCCGCGAUCCUUUUCCACUGUGAUUCCACCGUCUAACGGUGACGGUGUAUGACCGUUGCACUUUCUUUCUGCCGCCUUCACUGAUUCUUUCUGUUGCGUUGUGCAUAUCUCCUUGCCUUUCUUUCUCUUUUCACAAUUGCGAGCAAUCAGGGCACGGUUCUUCUUGUUGCGACGAAGAUAUGCCGCCACCUAAAGAGCUUCCAGGGUUUUACUACGACGCAGAGAAGAACAGGUAUUUCCCCAUUAAAGGCCCCAUUCCCGGCUCUUCUCGCUCUUCUUCUGCGAAGCUUGGUCCUAAGAAACCAAUCCCAAGGUCCACUCAGGAAAGGAGCCCUUGUAGGAAGCCUUUGAAGAAAACAUCGAAACUGCUUCUUGCCAGGGAGUUAAGUGGCAAUAUCAUUAUGUCCUACAGAUGGAAAUGCAAUUUCAGGGAGGAAUUGCAAAAAACACAAGCAUCACAACCUGUGGUUUGGAAAUACCAGCGAACAGAUAGGAUAGAUAUUAGUGCUCUGGAGCAGAUAAACAUUGAUGUAGAGACUUUUGAGGGUGUGGUCAAAACUGACGUUUUGUUGUCAGGCAACUUGAAUGGCUCACUACGUUUUUUUGAGGUUCGCAAAGAGCAAGCUAUUGAUAUAACCUGGAUGCCAGAUCGUGUGAAGAAUUAUGCUAAAGGAAAAACAUACAAGCAUGACGAAGUGCCUGCACCAGUUGUUGCAAAUUAUGGAGGUUUAAUUGAAAAGCCAUCCAGAAUAUCUUGUAUAAGAUUGGGUCCAAGGUUCUCUUCUCAUGCAGAUGAAGGCCCUAUUGUUCGUCAUGUAUUAUUUACUCAUUUGGGAUCUGAGACAUCAGGUGGAUCAAUUCAUAUUAUGGAUCUUGCUGAACCAUUAAUGCCUAAUGUUGUGAGCCCAAUAAAGCAAGUUGCUUCCUUUAAGUGUACCUUUUGGACAGCAGAAUAUGAUUAUACGAGACCUCGUGCUGUAAUUGGCAAGUUCUGUUGCUCUCUUUCCCUUUAACAUGCUCUUUAUCUCACACGUGCAAAAGAUGCAUGUGCUCAUGCCAGUGCAAACGUGUCUCAUUUGUUCAGUAUUUCCUGGCACAAAUAACAAUAUUUGUGGCCUGCAUAUGCAUAGGUACCAAUAUUGGAGCUGCAUCCGUGGAUUUGGAAACUGGUCAGGCCUCGUGGUUUUUACGUUGCAAAAGCGAUGUUUU
Neltuma alba is the source of this 1259-nucleotide RNA transcript. RefSeq lists it as uncharacterized. The transcript is spliced from 7 exons. The record is from RefSeq and is a predicted model, not a curated record. Lineage: Eukaryota; Viridiplantae; Streptophyta; Magnoliopsida; Fabales; Fabaceae.